Lagopus muta (rock ptarmigan) is the source of this 456-nucleotide long non-coding RNA. RefSeq lists it as uncharacterized. The transcript is spliced from 4 exons. Lineage: Eukaryota; Metazoa; Chordata; Aves; Galliformes; Phasianidae. The record is from RefSeq and is a predicted model, not a curated record.
CCCUUAAUGUGUUGGUCUGUUUUACAUUGCUCACUAGGUGGCAGUAAAAUGUUGUUCUUCCAAUGAAAGCAGAGGAAGUUGGGCAUUCUGCAAUUGCUUGUAGCACUUCAUACAUGCAAAACAGUGCCUACAAUCUUGGUGGAUUUUUUAUGUAUUACAUUUACAAAGCUCUAAGGAAUUGUGUCAUAACCUGAAAAGUCUGGCUCCUAAAGAGGUGGGAAUUUGCCUGCUAAUCUUUCCCUCACAGACAGCAUCAAGGAGGUCUUCUACCCACACCAUAUUUUCUGUUUCCCAGAAGCAAUGAUUUCACAUUGACUGAGGAGGAAUGAUGUCUUCAGGCAUGACAGGGUGUGCAGUUUGACCACAGAACUCAGCCUACAGCGGAGGUGACAUGAGUCACUCAAAUGUCAGCUACUACUUUCAGCUUUGUGCGUAUCUUUAAUACAAUAUAUUCUU